This is a long non-coding RNA of Planococcus citri (citrus mealybug), 431 nucleotides long. RefSeq lists it as uncharacterized. The transcript has 2 exons. NCBI's taxonomy places the organism in Eukaryota, Metazoa, Arthropoda, Insecta, Hemiptera, Pseudococcidae. The record is from RefSeq and is a predicted model, not a curated record.
UGAUGCGUUGAAUUUCUAUUUCUUGUGAUGUAUUUGUUUUACGUAAUUCUUGAUUUUCUUCUUCUAGUUCUUUGAUUCGACUUACGAGGAAAGACGGUGUGUUACGAAAUUCAUCUAUCAUGCACCAGGUGGAGCAAUAUCUAUUACGUCUUUCAAACACUGCAGGUGAUACAGAUGCGUACACGUGGUUGCUACGAGAGGAUUUUCUAUUUGCUCAACGAUCGGGGGCUCAGCCAGUGAUUGAUUACAUGAUGAGCAAGACACGAUAUUCACUAUUCUGCUAUCCAUUUUCUGUCAACAUCAUGGGUAUUCGUUAAAUUUCGUGUAUUUUGUAUUACAUUAAUUUUCAUGCUGUUUUGUGUAAUUUUUACUGUUACUGAUGAAUCUGUACUUACGGAAAUUGUUGAUGUAAAUAAAUGGAAUUGUCUUGA